UCCUCAGAGGGGGUGCAAGCAUAAUCUCCCAGGCAUUUCUGAGUACCAUCAGCUGAGCACAAUUCCCUGGAGGAAGAGCAACCAGUAAUGUCCAGGACAGUGCUCAAUAAAUACUUGUUGGAUGAAUGACUCAUAAGUAGAACACAGCUCUACCCUCUCCAUAUGCUUUUUCUAUACACAAGCUGCUCUCCAUCUUGCCACGGACCUUUGUAUGUGCCGAUCCCUCAGCUGGAAUGACCUCACCUUCAGAUUUACUGCCCGCCAGGGAAGCCUGGAACUGAGUGAAGAAACACAUGGAAACCUCAUACAGAUCUGCAGGUUUGCUGACAUCAUCACCAAACUCUUCCAGGAAUUUCUUCCUUAAACUCCUAAAAUCAUCAAAUUUCCCAUCCUCACUCCCUCCUGACAUCACAGAGCAUAUCUUUCAAAUCUUAUAAAAUAAAAUAAU
Molecule: long non-coding RNA, 448 nt
Organism: Callorhinus ursinus (northern fur seal)
Lineage: Eukaryota; Metazoa; Chordata; Mammalia; Carnivora; Otariidae
Source: RefSeq, a predicted model, not a curated record